GAUGAAGAACGUAGCGAAAUGCGAUAAGUAAUGUGAAUUGCAGAAUUCAGUGAAUCAUCGAAUCUUUGAACGCACAUUGCGCCCCCUGGUAUUCCGGGGGGCAUGCCUGUCCGAGCGUCAUUGCUGCCCUCAAGCACGGCUUGUGUGUUGGGCCCCGUCCCCUCCCCCGGGGACGGGCCCGAAAGGCAGCGGCGGCACCGCGUCCGAUCCUCGAGCGUAUGGGGCUUUGUCACCCGCUCUGUAGGCCCGGCCGGCGCCAGCCGACACCCAACUUUUAUUUCUAAGGUUGACCUCGGAUCAGGUAGGGAUACCCGCUGAACUUAAGCAUAUCAAUAAGCGGAGGA
Molecule: unclassified non-coding RNA, 344 nt
Filed under: soil metagenome
Description: partial contains 5.8S ribosomal RNA, internal transcribed spacer 2, and large subunit ribosomal RNA
Rfam family: 5.8S ribosomal RNA (bases 1-120)
Source: RNAcentral